UGGGAGGUAGCUCAAUGGCAGAGCUCUCGACUGUUAAUCGAGCGGUUGCGGGUUCGAGUCCCGCCCUCCCAG
Molecule: transfer RNA, 72 nt
Filed under: Patulibacter sp.
Lineage: Bacteria; Bacillati; Actinomycetota; Thermoleophilia; Solirubrobacterales; Patulibacteraceae
Also listed under: 1 other name
Description: tRNA-Asn
Rfam family: tRNA
About the family: Transfer RNA (tRNA) molecules are approximately 80 nucleotides in length.
Source: RNAcentral